GUCCCUUAAAUAAUCCUGGGUCCGUUUCACGAAGCAGGUUCAACAAACUCGGUGUAACCCUGAACUCUGAGUUGAUCUACUCUGAGAUACGAAACUCUGAGUUUUCGGUUUAACAACGGCUGAUUUGAGUUGGUUUAAUCAACUCGGAGUAGUUUAACCCAGAGUGCACCGCAACUAUAAAAAGACAGCAUCAAUGGAACCCCGAUUCGACGACUCAUCAUGGCAACAGGGAAGCGGAGAGCUACGUUUUUUACACCACUUGAACUGGACAUCUUAAUGCGUUCAUAUGGCGACUUCGAACACGUUUUUAGAAAGAAGUGCAGCACCUGCAGCUGCAAAAGAGAGGGAGAUGGCGUGGGAGAACAUUGCUGCCCGAGUCAAUGCGUAAGUUUAAAUCACAAUAAUAUUACAGGAAAACUGUUUAAUAGCAGCCUAUUCUGUUAUUUCAUUUAGGUGCAAUCCUGCGGGGGUGAAGCGCAUGUGGCAGCAGCUGAAGAUGAAAUAUAAGAACAUUGUUCAAACAGCCAACAGAAAGAAAGGAGAUGCCUGUAAAAAGGGAGGUGGCCCAGCACCACCACCUGUAACGGAGGCAGAGGAGCUGGUCCUAAGCCAGAAUUUGGGAAGGUCAGUGGCUGAGGGAAUCCCUGGAGGGAGCUCAUCUUCUGAGACCACAUCCCAAGACAAAUUCUGAUGGUACUAUCUGCCUGGUGGAGCCCCUUCAAACCACAACAGACCUUGUAACUGAUGAAGAGGAUGAAACUGUGUCUGCUGCCUUUACAGAGGGGGAUCCAGAAAGGCAUCUAGAGAGCAUGGCUGGACAGCAGCAGGAUGCUUCCUCAACUUCCACUGCACAGAUUGACUCAGUGAGAUGGAUGUUCAGUAAACACCAGAGGUUGGGUCCGUGGAAUUCAUGUGCAACUGUGCAAUUUAAUGUCCUUUAUGUAUUCCCAGUUACCAGUAAAACAGAUUUACAAACUGCACUUGUUGAGAAAAAAACAGAUAAAGAAAUGCAGUACUUGGACCACCAGAUUAGGAGGGCAGAUCUGGAAAUUGAAAUACUGGAGCACAAGUUAGAGGUGGAUGCAGGUGACAGGUGAAUUGUUAACUACUGGAACAUGAACUGAACUAUCUCUUUUAUUUGUGGGAAAUAAAGAAGAC
Amphiprion ocellaris (clown anemonefish) is the source of this 1158-nucleotide long non-coding RNA. The record is from Ensembl. Lineage: Eukaryota; Metazoa; Chordata; Actinopteri; Pomacentridae.